This 494-nucleotide ribosomal RNA is filed under the name uncultured bacterium. RNAcentral's name for it is "partial 16S ribosomal RNA". It matches the Rfam family "Bacterial small subunit ribosomal RNA", at positions 28 to 507 of the family's 1533-position model. The record is from RNAcentral.
GACGAACGCUGGCGGCGUGCUUAACACAUGCAAGUCGAACGGUGAAGCGCCUUCCUUUUUGGUGGGUGUGGAUGAGUGGCGAACGGGUGAGUAACACGUGAGUAACCUGCCCCCUUCUUCUGGAUAACCGCAUGAAAGUGUGGCUAAUACGGGAUAUUCUGGUUCUGUCGCAUGAUGGGUCUGGGAAAGAUAUUGUUUCGGUGGGGGAUGGGCUCGCGGCCUAUCAGCUUGUUGGUGGGGUGAUGGCCUACCAAGGCGGUGACGGGUAGCCGGCCUGAGAGGGUGGACGGUCACACUGGGACUGAGACACGGCCCAGACUCCUACGGGAGGCAGCAGUGGGGAAUAUUGCACAAUGGGCGCAAGCCUGAUGCAGCGACGCCGCGUGAGGGAUGGAGGCCUUCGGGUUGUGAACCUCUUUCGCCAGUGAGGCAGGCCUGCCUCGUUUGUGGGUGGGUUGACGGUAGCUGGAUAAGAAGCGCCGGCUAACUACGUG